GUGCAGAAUUCCACCAGACUUUCAAAGAAAAGCUAGUUCCAAUACUCCUCAAACUGUUCUACAAAAUAGAAACAGAAGGAACCCUGCCAAACUCAUUCUAUGAGGCCACAAUCAUCCUGAUACCUAAACCACACAAACACUCAAAAAAGGAAAGAGAAUUUCAGACCAAUUUCUCUUAUGAACAUUGAUGCAAAAAUACUCAAUAAAAUACAAACAGAAUCCAGGAAAAAAAUUAAACAUAUCAUCCAUCAAGAUCAAGUAGGCUUCAUCACAAUGAUGCAGGAAUGGUUCAAUCUAUGGAACUUCAUCAAUGUAAUACAAUCAUAUUUAUAAAAUCCAACGCUCCUCAUAUUAAAUGAUUUACAGAAAUUAGGGAUAGAAGAGGCAUACCUAAUCAUAAUCAAAGCAAUAAACAGCAAGCCAAUAGCCAACGUCAAACUUAAUGCAGAGAAACUUAAAUCCCACUCUCUCCUUAUCUAUUCAAAAUAGUAUUUGAAGUUCUAGCCAGAGCAAUAAGACAACUAAAGGAGAUGAAGGGCAUACAAAUUGUAAAAGAAGUCAAAGUAUCACUAUCUAUGGAUGAUAUGCUAGAAUACAUUAGCAACCCCAAAAAUUCUUCCAGAGAACUCCUAUAUCUGAUAAACAGCUUCA
This 651-nucleotide long non-coding RNA is filed under the name Rattus norvegicus (Norway rat). RNAcentral describes it as "long non-coding RNA NONRATT025488". The record is from RNAcentral. Lineage: Eukaryota; Metazoa; Chordata; Mammalia; Rodentia; Muridae.